This 458-nucleotide ribosomal RNA is filed under the name uncultured bacterium. RNAcentral describes it as "SSU rRNA". It matches the Rfam family "Bacterial small subunit ribosomal RNA", at positions 26 to 518 of the family's 1533-position model. The record is from RNAcentral.
AGAAUCAACGCUGGCGGCGUGCCUAACACAUGCAAGUCGCACGAGAAAGGGUAGCAAUACCUGAGUAAAGUGGCGCACGGGUGAGUAACACGUGAAUCAUCUACCUCCGAGUGGGGAAUAACCUAGAGAAAUCUGGGCUAAUACCGCAUAACACUUACGAGUCAAAGCAGCAAUGCGCUUGGAGAGGAGUUCGCGGCCGAUUAGCUAGUUGGCGGGGUAAUGGCCCACCAAGGCGAUGAUCGGUAUCCGGCCUGAGAGGGCGCACGGACACACUGGAACUGAAACACGGUCCAGACUCCUACGGGAGGCAGCAGUGGGGAAUUUUGCGCAAUGGGGGAAACCCUGACGCAGCAACGCCGCGUGGAGGAUGAAAUAUCUUGGUAUGUAAACUCCUUUCGAUGGGGAAGAUUAUGACGGUACCAUAGAAGAAGCCCGGCUAACUUCGCGCCAGCAGCCGC